CAGCCGCCGCGGGAAUACGUAGGUGGCAAGCGUUGUCCGGAAUUAUUGGGCGUAAAGGGCUCGCAGGCGGUUUCUUAAGUCUGAUGUGAAAGCCCCCGGCUCAACCGGGGAGGGUCAUGGAAACUGGGAAACUUGAGUGCAGAAGAGGAGAGUGGAAUUCCACGUGUAGCGGUGAAAUGCGUAGAGAUGUGGAGGAACACCAGUGGCGAAGGCGACUCUCUGGUCUGUAACUGACGCUGAGGAGCGAAAGCGUGGGGAGCGAACAGGAUUAGAUACCCCUGUAGUCCCUGUCUCUUAUAAA
RNAcentral lists this ribosomal RNA (301 nucleotides) under uncultured bacterium. Its description in RNAcentral is "partial 16S ribosomal RNA". It matches the Rfam family "Bacterial small subunit ribosomal RNA", at positions 509 to 810 of the family's 1533-position model. The record is from RNAcentral.